UACGUAGGUGGCAAGCGUUGUCCGGAUUUACUGGGCGUAAAGAGCGCGCAGGCGGUCGUAUAAGUCGAAUGUGAAAGCCCUGGCUCAACUAGGGAGAGUCAUUCGAUACUGUUCGACUCGAAGGCAGGAGAGGGAAGUGGAAUUCCGGGUGUAGUGGUGAAAUGCGUAGAUAUCCGGAGGAACACCAGUGGCGAAGGCGACUUUCUGGCCUGUUCUUGACGCUGAGGCGCGAAAGCUAGGGGAGCAAACGGG
This 252-nucleotide ribosomal RNA is filed under the name uncultured bacterium. RNAcentral's name for it is "partial 16S ribosomal RNA". It matches the Rfam family "Bacterial small subunit ribosomal RNA", at positions 524 to 776 of the family's 1533-position model. The record is from RNAcentral.